This is a long non-coding RNA of Mesocricetus auratus (golden hamster), 2459 nucleotides long. RefSeq lists it as uncharacterized. The record is from RefSeq and is a predicted model, not a curated record. NCBI's taxonomy places the organism in Eukaryota, Metazoa, Chordata, Mammalia, Rodentia, Cricetidae. The transcript has 4 exons.
GAUUAGUCUAAGAAAAAGCUGAAUGUCCAAUAGUGAGGCAGGAGAAAGGAUAGGUAGGGCUGGUGGGCAGAGAUCCCAGGGGGAAAAGAAGAACGGAAAGAUUGAGAGAAGAUGGAGGACAUGCUGGAAUAGAAGCAAGGCGGACACCAGCUAGCUGGACACAGAGAAGCUGUGGAAGUUAGACCUACAGAUGUAAGGAAAGUAAUAAGCACCAAGGCAAAAGUUAUGUCACCUAAAUGCUCUUCCUCCUUCUCGAGACAAAAAACAUCAGUUGUUUCUGUGGCUUUCUUAAUUGACUCUUCAGGUUGCUGCUGUGUCUGAUCUUCAUCUUCAGAUAUCUAAAGGAAAUGAAAGAAAUCUAUGUGCUCCAUGGUGGUCAACAAGGGUUAUAUCUUGAGUAUCCAAGAGAUAAAGCUAUCCAGGCAUGUUGGCUCAUACCUGUAAUUCUACACUUAAACUGAGGCAAGGGGACAACCUUGACAUUAAGGGCUCAGGGAACCCAAUGGAAGAGGAGGCAGAAGUAUAAGUUCCGUAGGAGAUGAAGGACACCAAGAAAACAAGGCCUUCUAAGUCAACAUGAUCAACACACAUGAAAUCACAGAGACUGAGCAGCAUGCACAGGGCCCUCAUGGGCCUGAACCAGAUGGGGCCCUAGAGUUGAAAGGAGAAGUAGACACAUGUCCUCAUCCCUAAUCCAGAAGCUAUCUCCAACUGAUAACCACUUGGAAAUGAAAACUUAACAAACUAUACAUAUGGGCAGGCUGAAUGUCCAACAGUAGAUGGCCAAUAGAAAAUGAACUCACAACUUAUCUUGUAAUGCCAUGUCAGGGAGUUUCCUUUUUAUUAAAAAUACAUCUUAUAAUUUGUUAUACCUUAUAUUUAAAUAUUGUUCUCUUCAGUCUUUCUACACUACAGGUCCUUUGUACAUAUCCUAUGGCUUCCAGAUUAAUGUUUCUAUAGAAUUCCUGAGUACUGGCAAGUGGCCUCUGUCCCUUGUGCUUUCUUCCUUCUGCUUGUUUGUUUUGGCCUAUUCAGAUAUAUUAGUUUUUAUUUUAUGUUUUGUCAUUUUAUUUCAUGAUAUUAUUAUAUUAUUAGUCCUUAGAAACCUGUUUGUUUUCUAAUGGGAGAUAGAAAUGGAUCAGGAUGGGAGGUGGAUGUGGGGAGAAACUAGGAUGAAUAGAGGAAGGGAAACUGUAAUAAAAGGGAAAAACAAGUUAUUUUAGAAUAAAAAAAUAGUGUCUAAUAAUGCCAUACAGAAGCCAUUGAUUUUUAUGGUAAUUUAAGAGGUUUGGUUUUGGGGGUUGAAUUUUUUGUUUAUUUGUUGUUUAGUUUUGUCUUUUUGUGCCAGGAUCUCACUAUGUAGCUCUGUCUCUCCUGAAAUUCACUAUGUAGACCAGACUGAACUCUGCCUCCUGAGUGCUGGGGUUAAAGGUAUAUACCACCACACCUGGCUCCAUUUUCACAAAAAUUUAAAAGAAAAUAAAUUAAUAAAAUUGGAUCAAUUCACAAAGGUUUCUAAGUAUCCUAGCAGACCAAAUAACUAAGAACUGUGCUAGGACCAAAGACCUAAGACAUACUUAGUAGUUACACUUUUAUGGACAAAAGUCACUCUUCUAUGAAUCAUGGGCAUUUACAAGCCCUAUAAACAAUUAGUAUGCAAGAUUUAUAAAAGACGCAUAGGGCAUAACAGAUGUAGCUAGAUGUCAACUAUAAAAAGAUACAUUCCUUAAUGAGAAGCAAGCAUCUUAAAAGCAGCACUAGGCAGCAUGGCAUGUUCACCAGCAUCUCUUUUCUAGCUGCUGAGAGGCUAAGGCAGAGUGAUCAUGGACCACAGUGAGAUCUUGACUCCAAAAACAAAGCAAAAGGUAACAUGAGCAAAAUGUGGGACAUGGCUAGCCAAGUAAUCUAACCAGAAAAAUAAAAACUUAAAACUACCAUGAGUUAUUAGGUUUAGAUAAUGAUAAAAGAUUGAUACAGUACUAGUAGAUACGUGACUUUUACCUGCUGCCUAUGGAAGGCUAAAGAACACACUUACACUCUACAAAGCAAAUUUGCAUUACUUAGAAAUGUAAUAAAUGUGCAACAUGUGAAAGGUGGUUCUGUUCCUAGAAAUAUACCCAAGAACUUGCAUACGUGUGUUCUAGUAAUGUCAACAAUGGUCAGAAUAACUAAGGACGAAAUAUUGAGAACAGCACAAGUAUCUGCUGCCAGGAGAUGUAUGAAUCAAUUAGAGCAUGUUAAUGCAAAGAAUUCUGGAUAGCAGAAAAACUAAUCUGUGAAAGCUAUGAAUACCAAAAUGAAUGAACCUCAAAAAUAUAAAUAUCAGGGUAAUAUUGACCUCUAGGGCCCAUUUUCUAAAGGACAGUUUGUAUUGUCUCAAACUACCUGUGAAAUUGUAAAUUUACAUUCUGUGUGCUCAUCAUGACUAUUUUAUAAAAUAAAAAAGCAAUUUUAAGGAA